Molecule: long non-coding RNA, 4678 nt
Filed under: Lupinus angustifolius (narrow-leaved blue lupine)
Lineage: Eukaryota; Viridiplantae; Streptophyta; Magnoliopsida; Fabales; Fabaceae
Description: long non-coding RNA (LANG_LNC003365)
Source: RNAcentral
UUUCACAUACAAAGCUAUGUGUUUAUUCCCUUUCGCUAUAGACCUUACUAUAUACUCACGACCUUUCGACAUUUACGUUAUUACGGUAUUUCACAUUUUCAAAAAGCCACCACCUCUUGGAAGUUCAGAAAUUGCCUUUGUUGCAAGUUAAUUAAUUCUAUGUGUACUAUCAAGUAUCAAAGAGCUUAUAUCAAACUAACCACAAUGAAUGUUGUCUACAAUAUGCCAGCAUCCACAUGCAUGUUUCAUCCUACCACUAAUUGUGAGACACAGCAUAUGGAUUAAAAUUACCCACCCAAAUCUGUUAUGUGAAAGGGGAAACUUGGCCUUGGAAUAUUGAUCUCGGCCAUAUUUACCUUCACUAGUCACAUCUCAUUGUAUUCUCUUUCACAUUUCUUAGCAUUUUUUACUUUUGUAAUAUUUUGUAUAUUUAAGUAUAUCUUCAAUAAAAUUGCAUUUUGUUAAUCAUAAAAAUAUGAAAGGGUUGAAAGACACACAAGGUGACAAAAUUAUAUUACUUAUUAAUGAUAGGAUAUAAUGAAGAUCCAUUUUUACCAUUGGAUAUAGAAGUCAAUCAAGGAUUAAAAGGAUGAUAUAUAUGGUAAAAUAAAAGUAAAAAUGAGAAUAUAAAUUGUAAUGCGGUAACCUUGCAUCAAGAAGGGGUUCAACUUGUUGUUCUUGUUUAUGUCGACGAUCUAAUCAUUGUUGGUAAUGAUUCCUCAUCCAUCAAAUGGUUUAAAACCUACCUCAACAAAUGCUUCCACAUGAAAGAUCUUGGCACAUUGAAGUAUUUUCUAGGUAUUGAGGUUGCUCGCAAUCCUAUAUGUAUUUUUUCUUUGUCAUCGUAAGUACACGCUCAAUAUUAUUUAUGAAGUUUCGCCUCCUUGGUGCUAAACCUGCAGGCAUCCCAUUAGAACAAAAUCACUGUUUGUCUCUUGCUACAUGAACUCUUCUUACCAACCUUGAACGCUAUCGUCGAUUAGUUGGGCGAUUGAUUUAUCUAUGUUUUACACGCUUAGACCUUUCAUCCAGUGUUCACACGCUAUCUCAGUUCAUUUAGGAACCACGAAUUGAGCAUUGGGAAUAUGCCCUCAAAGUGGUCCGGUUUCUCAAGGGCAAUUUUGGUCAAGACAUAUUGCUUUCUCACAACUGUGAUCUCCAACUUCAUGGAUGGUGCGACUCCAACUAGGCUAGUUGUCCUGCUCCCUUACUGGUUGGCUGAUCCAAUUUGGUCAAUCCCCUAUCUCUUGGAAAACAAAGAAGCAACACACUGUUUCUCGAUCAUCGGUUGAAGCUGAGUAUCAGUCCAUAACAACUACUACAUGCGAGCUCAAAUGGUUAAAAGAGAUUCUUUCCAGUCUUGGCAUCGCUCAUACUAAACCUAUGAUUCUUCACUCUGAUAGUUAAGUGGCCUUGCAUAUCGCUAAAAAUAUGGCAUUCCAAUGGGAAAUGAACAAAUAACAUCAGCUAAGCUCCAUAUGGGAAAUGAACAAAUAACAUCAGCUAAGCUCCAUAUGGGAAAUGAACAAAUAACAUCAGCUAAGCUCCAUAUGGGAAAUGAACAAAUAACAUCAGCUAAGCUCCAUAUGGGAAAUGAACAAAUAACAUCAGCUAAGCUCCAUAUGGGAAAUGAACAAAUAACAUCAGCUAAGCUCCAUAACUAUAGUCUAGACUUUGUCAACCAAAAGGAAAUAAGACAAAAUCAUAGUCAUAGCAAUUUCGAGGUAGGGUAUUAGUUGUACCAAACCUAAAUUUGAAAGUUGAAUUCGGGUAAAACGUAAACUUGAAGUCAGUCACAAUAGUUUUUCUUGUCAAAUUUGAGUUGGGUACGGAUGAGUACUCACAAAUUCGGUUUUCAUUAUCAUCCAUAUAUGUAAAUGAGUUUAAUUUAUAAAAAAUUGAAGAGAAAAACAAUCACAAUGACACAUGCACCAUCAAGAUGAACAAAGUUUAUGGGUGGGAUAAAAAUUGUCUCUUACCUGACCCUAAAUAUUGGUUCGAUCAUUUUUUUGAAAUCAAACGUGGUCCUAGACACGGAGAUUAAACUGACCCCAAAUAUCAAUCGAAUCAACUUCACAUAAAGUUCUCCUUAAAUUACAUAUUAUUAUGGAUAUGUAAUUUGACAUAUGAAAUAAUAUUAUAUGUAGGUAUUUUGCUAAUCAUUUACAUAUAUGUAUAUAUGAUGAAAAAUGUAGAAAAUCAAUAAUACUUUUGGUUAAACAAAUGUCAUUAUUCUAAACACAAUCAAAUAGACACAUACAAACAUGACGAAUAGGUAACUUUGAGACAGGUUGGGUCAGAUCAUGGUUGUCUCUUACCUAAUCCUAAAUAUUGGUCAAGUCUAAUUUUUGAACUCAAACCUGACUAUACUUAAUAAAACUUUGAAAUGAUUGAGUCAAACUAGAUAAGCGAGUCAUGUUAGGUCAGGUCAGAUCUGGUGUCUUGCUCCUCCCUAACAUAGCCAUAUAAGGUAUACAACUUUCUCAUUGUUGAUCCAAUGUGUUAAAAGAAAAUACAAUGUAAUCCAUCAGUAUUUAUAGUUUUAAAAGGUUGGACUAGGAUUGUUUUUUUGUGUGGAUGAUCAGCUCGAUAAUGGGUUCAUGGAUCCAAUAGCACCCUACUUUGAAUACAGCUGAAGUUAGAGAAAUGAUAAUGGUUAUAUUUUUUAAUUUUGAUAGUAAUAUAUGUAAGAGUGUGUAUGCAUUUAGGUAUGUAUGAGUAACAAAAGUCAUGUUUAUUUGUAGUCAGUCGUCUCUGUUAGCUAGUUCAGGACUUACCUUGCUCAACAAGGUUUUUUGUCCAGGCCUAUUUCGUGUGCCAGGGUUUCUGGCCGAGCUUGAGUUGCAGUGUUAAACAAGACCAGGACCAAGGCCAGGAGUGGGAUAUCGUGGUGCUGGACAAGUCAGGCUUAGCAUUGUGUUUAAAUCAGUUGGCCUUUAUAGUCCAGUGGCCCAAUACUCUAAAUAGAAAGUUCGUUUAGUUUUCAGUUUGGUUUUCUUUCCCUUUUUAGUUGCUUUGUAUAUAACUAUAUAAGCUUGUUAAUUCCAAUUCGUUCAAUGACAAUUCUGUUCUCCAAAUUCUUCUUCCGCAACAUCAAGAUUCUCAACUCAAUUUUCUAAUAUGUAUUCCAAUAAUAUAUUCUUAUUUUCUAACUUUCUAUCUUAUCAACUAUGUAUAGCUUAAAUUUACAUAUAUUAUACGCUUAUUGAGUCAUUAAAAAUAUAUUUUUCUACAAAAUACUCAUACAAAUCCUUCUACACCAUAAGAAAGUGAUAUUUUAUGUGUAAACUAAUUAUUAAUAAAAAAAAUAUUAUUUUAUAAUAUAUAUUAUUUUUCUUAUGAUGUAGGAGAAUAUGUAAGAUAAUUAGAUGUAUAUUAAUUUUCUUAUUUGAAUUAAAUUUUUCAGACAUAACGAUGCAUGUGGAAACAUAUAACAAAUGUGAACAACUCGCAAGUUGAGAAGAUAAAAACAACGUUGGAUAACUAUCAUGUUAAUAAAACGACAAGAUAGGGUCAUUAUCACCCCGUGAUAUCUAUAGAUGGGAUUUGCUGUCCUAAUCAUGUCUCCAACUACGUUCCUAGUCAAUUACAAUAAAGUAAAAUUGAUAAAGUUAUGAAUAUUUAAUUUUUUUAACUGACGUGGCAUAAUAGGAUUGGUUUGGACAGAGUUUAGGACAACAUAUCUUUGUCCAAUAUCUAUCAUGUUAAUAACACGACAAUAUAGAAUCAUUAUGACCACGUGGUCCACUAUUAAUGUACCGAUGGUUUUCCUAUAACUUACUUUUUCUGGCUUAAUCAACUUUUGUUUUUUUAAUACAUAAAGUCAUAAACCACGCAGAGAACAUAUGCUUGCAACAGGCUCGUGUAUUUAAACAAAUCAAUUCCUUUAUUUUGAGGAACAAGGAACAUAUAUUUUAUUACUUUAUCAAAGCUGGAUUAUAAUAUAAUAAUCCCAUUUUCUAAACAACUUGGCCUUUAAUUAGUACUAUGGUGAGUUGGCUUUUCUUUAGAACGAUGGACAAAUAAAGAUUUUCUGUAUUAAUAAAGAGAUAAAUACAUAUAUUUUUCUUUGUUUUUAAUGACAAAAGUCUAAUUUUAUUAUAAUUAAAAUAAUAAAUAUGUCAUUAAAAGUUAUAGUUUCAUUUAUUUUUUUCAUUGAUGGAGAAGAUUUUAACUCGACCUAGAGUGUCCGGUGUUUAUUAAGGGGAGAUGAGAUGGGUUAUUUGUAGUUCAUUAUUACAAGUUGGUACAGCUAUUAUAUAUUAUGUUAGCGUUGAAACUGCUAUAAUAUUAAAAUUUAUCUACACUUAAAUUCACUCCAUGUGUUGGAUUAUCUAUAUGCUUCACUUUUCAUGAAAAAAGCUAUAUAUAUGUUUCACAUACAAAGCUAUGUGUUUAUUCCCUUUCGCUAUAGACCUUACUAUAUACUCACGACCUUUCGACAUUUACGUUAUUACGGUAUUUCACAUUUUCAAAAAGCCACCACCUCUUGGAAGUUCAGAAAUUGCCUUUGUUGCAAGUUAAUUAAUUCUAUGUGUACUAUCAAGUAUCAAAGAGCUUAUAUCAAACUAACCACAAUGAAUGUUGUCUACAAUAUGCCAGCAUCCACAUGCAUGUUUCAUCCUACCACUAAUUGUGAGACACAGCAUAUGGAUUAAAAUUACCCACCCAAAUCUGU